Esox lucius (northern pike) is the source of this 2215-nucleotide long non-coding RNA. NCBI's taxonomy places the organism in Eukaryota, Metazoa, Chordata, Actinopteri, Esociformes, Esocidae. The record is from Ensembl.
CUUUCUGUUAGUAAUGACACACUGGUUUCACCAGUCACGUUUGUCAUGAUAAUUUUAUAUUAAUGUGAAAAGUUGUCUUUGCAGUAGUCAUUUUCGGUUAAUGUAAUGUUAGUCAAGUCAAACCCAUCUAGAGAGAAGUUCAGUUGUCUGAAAAAGAAAUGUUGUGCAGAUAUGAACAGAGAUGUGAAAUGAUGGAUGGAGAGGUUGGCAACUAAUUUCAAAGAGAGUAUUUUAUUAGACAGAUGAGUGGGAAAGUCACAUGUAAAGGGUUAGUAGAGAUGAGUGGGACAGUCACAUGUAAAGGGUUAGUAGGGAUGAGUGGGACAGUCACAUGUAAAGGGUUAUCAGUAGAGAUGAGUGGGACAGUCACAUGUAAAGGGUUAGUAGAGAUGAGUGGGACAGUCACAUGUAAAGGGUUAGUAGAGAUGAGUGGGACAGUCACAUUUAAAGGGUUAGUAGAGAUGAGUGGGACAGUCACAUGUAACGGGUUAGUAGAGAUGAGUGGGACAGUCACAUGUAAAUGGUCAGUAGAGAUGAGUGGGACAGUCACAUGUAAAGGGUUAGUAGAGAUGAGUGGGACAGUCACAUGUAAAGGGUUAGUAGAGAUGAGUGGGACAGUCACAUGUAAAGGGUUAGUAGAGAUGAGUGGGACAGUCACAUGUAAAGGGUUAGUAGAGAUGAGUGGGACAGUCACAUGUAAAGGGUUAGUAGAGAUGAGUGGGACAGUCACAUGUAAAGGGUUAGUAGAGAUGAGUGGGACAGUCACAUGUAAAGGGUUAGUAGAGAUGAGUGGGACAGUCACAUGUAACGGGUUAGUAGAGAUGAGUGGGACAGUCACAUGUAAAGGGUAAGUAGAGAUGAGUGAGACAGUCACAUGUAAAGGGUUAGUAGAGAUGAGUGGGACAGUCACAUGUAAAGGGUUAGUAGAGAUGAGUGGGACAGUCACAUGUAAAGGGUUAGUAGAGAUGAGUGGGACAGUCACAUGUAAAGGGUUAGUAGAGAUGAGUGGGACAGUCACAUGUAAAGGGUUAGUAGAGAUGAUUGGGACAGUCACGUGUAAAGGGUUAGUCAUUUUUCUAAUCUGUAUAAUGUUUUUUAUUACCUGAAAAUUCCUUCCUGAUUAUGUGAUGACAUCACAGCUUCUCUUCUUCAGAUAGAGCAGAAAUGUUACAGAGAUGGGAAUGAUAAUAUCUCUGAAAAGUAAGCAGAUCACAGAGCGUUGAACCAAAAGACUUCUGGAUUAAAUCCCAGAGCCAACGAGGUGAAACUAAUUUGCUGUUGUCACAUCCACCUCCAUGGCAAAUCCUCUUCCUGUUCCGGCGCAAACGAUGGGCGUCGCCGGCCUUCUAGCUAGUACUGCCUUAGCAUUCAUUACCCAAUCAUGGACUGUCUUUGUGCAAUCAGUGAUCACACUUGGUUAUUGUUUCCCCCAUUAGCUGUAUGUAUAUAGUUCCCUCUGUUCCUUGUGGGCUAUUGUGUAUGUUGCGUUGGUUACCUUUCUAGGAUAUAGUAACAUUACUGUAGUAAAGGUUUGUUGUGCGCCCUAUGUAAGGGCAACAUUUAUUUUAAGUCCUAACUUACUUUUGGUGUGAAUUUCCUUUGGAUUCAAAUAAAAGCCCUUAUUACCUGCAACUGCCUCUGCUUCCCUUCCUGAAACAUGACAGCUGUUCUGAAUUUGAUCAAGGUAAUAAAACUCUUUUGCUACCCAGGCACUCAGUGUGACAGACCUCUCCAAUUUAGAAGAGGAAGUCAAAUAUUUGGUUGGAUCUUCUUUGUCAUCAUUAUUUUUCUUUUCAGUCAGUGUUGUGUAAAAGUAGGGUUCUCACCUUUAGCUCUGUUCCUGUUCCUGCUGUGUUUCACCAUCAGUACAGUGGUCACUAUCAGGUAUGGAGACACCACCAGUAGACUACACAACAGCCUGGACAGAGAGACUCUGGAGUCACUACAUGACUCUGGAGGGGGAAGUGGAGAUGAAGAUGAAGGUGGAGAUGUGGAUGAAGGUGGAGAUGAGGUUGGAGAUGGAGAUGGAGAUGAGGGUGGAGGUGAAGAUGGAGAUGAGGUUCCUGGGGAAAGAAUUUUAGGACCACAACACACUCAGUGCAGAUAGACUUUCUCACACCAGAGAACACAGACAUCACACUAACAACCUAGGGUUCAACCUGAAAUUAGCUUGCUAAUCCCAAAUCCUACCUUGUAGUAUAGGCCUCUGGUCUAC